Long non-coding RNA from Lolium rigidum, 452 nucleotides. RefSeq lists it as uncharacterized. The transcript has 3 exons. The record is from RefSeq and is a predicted model, not a curated record. Lineage: Eukaryota; Viridiplantae; Streptophyta; Magnoliopsida; Poales; Poaceae.
CAAAAAUCAUGUUUUGCAUACCGGAAUAUUGUGUGCCCGUGAAGGUGAUUUUUUGUUCUGCAAUAUGAUGAUUGCUUCAUAUUUUUUCUAGCGCUGGAUGCAUGUCAAUUAUAAUCACAUGGGACUUCCAAGUUCCAACUCAGUUUUGAUUUGCUUGAGAUUUUUCCACUUCAACUGUUGUGCUAAACUUUUUGGCUGAGGGAAUAUUUUGGAAAUAUGUGCACGUUAGGUAUCAUUACUCUUUUUUAUAUUCUCUAUACCGGUGCAAUUUUUGAGACUUUUGAGAUCAUAAUAUGAAUAAAUCUUAGAUGAGCAUGUAAGGACAGAGGUUUACAUCCAUUAUGAUGGGGAGGUUCUUACUAGGACAACGAUUAUUUCCAUGUGAUUAGUUAAGUCAUUAGGAUCACUUUUUUUGCGUUCAUUAAUUAGCACCUCAUAUUUCUAAUUCAGGU